Molecule: RNA transcript, 2140 nt
Organism: Pseudomyrmex gracilis
Lineage: Eukaryota; Metazoa; Arthropoda; Insecta; Hymenoptera; Formicidae
Exons: 7
Source: RefSeq, a predicted model, not a curated record
UGUGAUCGUAUAUCAGUGAUCGUGUAUAACAGUUACGAGUGAAAAUUGCGAAGAAUUAGAAUAUUAAAGAAGAAAAAGAAAGUAUAAAGCAUAUAAUAAAAUAUGCAAAUAUAAUUUUUAAUUUUCUAGUAUAACAGCGAAUUCGGUAGCUUAGUGUGCACUAAUAUAAAGUAAUGAAAACAAUAACUUGCGUUGCUAAAACUAAAUUGCUACGAUUUUUCAAAUUUCAGACGAUAAUUUCAUUAAUUUGCAUAGUUCGCGAUGGUGCGAAUUUGUUUUUUGUGCAAGAAAAAGGCAACCAAGAAUGCAAACUUUACAAUGCAUAAAUUUCCAAAAGAAGUGAGCAUUCGAGCACAAUGGUUGCAUGCCUGCAAAUUAUCUGACAAGGACAAUGUAACGCAUGUAUACAUAUGCUCGGAUCAUUUUAUACAGAGUGACUAUAGACAUAGUACGGAACUGCUGUGUCAAAAGAAAUGGUUAUUGAAAUCAGAAGCAGUGCCUUCCAUCGGUGUUCCAAAUCCUCCAGCUAUCAAACUGCAGUUCCAGUCAACAUGCAAGAAUAUGAUUGAUGAGACACGAUCACUGCCUUCAAUUGAUGCUCUUCCAACUUUCACAGCAGUUACUUCUAAUGUCAAAAAACCAGAGUUUGCAUCAACAUUCAAGGAUGUUAUUCAAGAGACACAUCAUGACGAAAAACAGCAAAAGCUGUAUGCUACUCCGAAGAAACGGAGAUUUGCAGAGCCUCGGUACAUAUCCGAAAUUACAACUUCCGAUUUUUCAUCACCCAAGAAAGCCCGAAGAGUUAUCGAUAUGGUGAAAAAAACCUAUAAAGAGAAAUGUAAUUUGAUCCACAAUCUGCAGAAAAAAAAUCGGACGCUGUGUAAACGCAUUACCACUUUAGAAGAAUUGGUAAAGCAUUUGCGUAAAGAAACAUUAAUGUCAGAAGAAGGUGCAGACGCUUUAAUGCGUGCUGCUCAUUGCAAUUUGUCACAUUCCACUAUAACACAUUUUGUCAGCUCUAAAAAUAAAAUAACAGGACAUGAUGCCGGAAAAAAUAAAACAUGUCGCGAGUAGGAAAGUGAAAGGCAAGGGACAGUAUUCGCUUGAACUCUGCAGUUUCGCACUUACAUUUUUAUUCAUCGAAAGCGUACAAUUAUGUAAGAAAAAUGUGGGACAAUUUGCUGCCAAACCUUUCUACCAUUCGUACUUAUACAGAGUCGUCGAUGGAGACUUGGAUUUCACAAAAGAAGCAUUGAAUGCUAUAGCUCUACGAGCGGAAGGACCGAAACUAGUGAUUGUAAAUCUGGUGAAGGACGAAAUGGCUAUUCGUGAGCAGAUAAUUUACGAUAAAGAUAGAUUUCACGGUGACGUCGAUUAUGGAAUUACCGACGAAUGACAAUGAUUGUAUACUGACAGCAAACUACGCUCUAAUGGUUAUGGCGGUGUUCCUGAAUAACAACUGGAAGAUAUCAAUAAGCGCGAUUAGAAGUCGGAGAGAGUUCAAUAACAACCCUAAUGCCCAACAACUUAACAACUUAAAAGUGCGUAUAAACGAUUGUUAAUUAGACACAAAAUUAAAGUUUGAUAAUGGUAAUUGCCUUUUUGACGGCAUAGACAUAUUACACGUCUCUUCUACCGUAAAUACUUUAAAAUGUCCAAUUGGUGAUUCCAGGUUUUUACACAAAUCUAUUGAUUUCGGCCACGACUAUAUUAAAACAUUUUAGGACUUGUCACCAUAUGUUGACAAUGUAGUUCUGUACAUCGCAGACUACGUUAGCAAACACGUUAGCAAUAAUUUAUAUUGUGACAUAUGUCGGGCUCAAUUAGUAGAAUCCUAAAUGCCUUUGCUGUCGUCAAAAAAAAAGAAAAAAAAAGAAAAAAAAAUAGAAGAUCGUAUACUGCAUCGUCUGCAGAUGUUUGCGCGAUUUGUCGUAUGUGGUUAUUCGAGAAAACUCUAGUGGUUUAAUUAAAAAGAAUAUUAAGCGCGGCCUACUUAAUAAAAUUUUUAAUCACAUUGGCAUUCCGUUUUCGAACAAUGUGAUGGAUAUUCAUGUGUUAUCGCAAGACAUUUUAGAUAAUCAUCGCAGUCAGUUAUGCAAAAAUAUAAUUGAAUUAUACUUUAAUAUUUGAUUAUUUUACA